RNAcentral lists this small nucleolar RNA (157 nucleotides) under Acanthisitta chloris (rifleman). Its description in RNAcentral is "Small nucleolar RNA SNORD97". It matches the Rfam family "Small nucleolar RNA SNORD97". The record is from Rfam by way of RNAcentral. Lineage: Eukaryota; Metazoa; Chordata; Aves; Passeriformes; Acanthisittidae.
UUGCCCAAUGAUUAUAGCAAGACGCGUUAUGACGAGGACUAAUGCUGGAACUCUCUCUCCUCUUCCUCCUCCUUUGUCCCUUCCUCUUUCACCUUACCCCCCUCACUUUCCUUAGGGUAUCCAGCGUCCUAUGAGCAAGACUGAGAUAUGAGGGCAA